CGGAGGAUCCAAGCGUUAUCCGGAAUCAUUGGGUUUAAAGGGUCCGUAGCGGGUUUAUAAGUCAGUGGUGAGAGCCCAUCGCUCAACGAUGGAACGGCCAUUGAUACUGUAGAUCUUGAAUUAUUAGGAAGUAACUAGAAUAUGUAGUGUAGCGGUGAAAUGCUUAGAGAUUACAUGGAAUACCAAUUGCGAAGGCAGGUUACUACUAAUGGAUUGACGCUGAUGGACGAAAGCGUGGGUAGCGAACAGGAUUAGAUACCCUGGUAGUCCACGCCGUAAACGAUGGAUACUAGCUGUUCGGAGCAAUCUGAGUGGCUAAGCGAAAGUGAUAAGUAUCCCACCUGGGGAGUACGUUCGCAAGAAUG
RNAcentral lists this ribosomal RNA (365 nucleotides) under uncultured organism. RNAcentral describes it as "bacterial SSU rRNA". It matches the Rfam family "Bacterial small subunit ribosomal RNA", at positions 526 to 896 of the family's 1533-position model. The record is from RNAcentral.